UACGUAGGGGGCAAGCGUUGUCCGGAAUCAUUGGGCGUAAAGAGCGUGUAGGCGGUUCGGUAAGUCCGCUGUGAAAGUCCAGGGCUCAACCCUGGGAUGCCGGUGGAUACUGUCGGGCUCGAGUCCGGAAGAGGAGUGUGGAAUUCCGUGGUGUAGCGGUGAAAUGCGCAGAUAAUCAGGAGGAACACCAAUGGCGAAGGCAGCACUCUGGGACGUGACUGACGCUGAGACGCGAAAGCGUGGGGAGCAAACAGG
Molecule: ribosomal RNA, 255 nt
Filed under: uncultured bacterium
Lineage: Bacteria
Description: partial 16S ribosomal RNA
Rfam family: Bacterial small subunit ribosomal RNA
Source: RNAcentral